UCCGGGUUUCGCCCGGCAGUCUCCCUAGAAUAUUCAACUAAGGACAGGGGUUGCGCUCGUCGCGGGACUUAACCCAACACCUCACGGCACGAGCUGACGACAGCCAUGCACCACCUGCGCAGAAGUCCCUUGCGGGAGGUGCUCACUUUCGGGCACACCCCCCUCUCGAGAGGCUUCCGUACAUGUCAAGGGUAGGUAAGGUUUUUCGCGUUGCAUCGAAUUAAUCCACAUCAUCCACCGCUUGUGCGGGUCCCCGUCAAUUCCUUUGAGUUUUAAUCUUGCGACCGUACUCCCCAGGCGGUCGACUUCACGCGUUAGCUGCGGUACUAAGGAAGUCUCCUUCCCCAACACCUAGUCGACAUCGUUUAGGGCGUGGACUAC
Molecule: unclassified non-coding RNA, 381 nt
Filed under: uncultured Gammaproteobacteria bacterium
Lineage: Bacteria; Pseudomonadati; Pseudomonadota; Gammaproteobacteria
Description: contains 16S-23S intergenic spacer region
Source: RNAcentral